RNAcentral lists this ribosomal RNA (387 nucleotides) under uncultured bacterium. RNAcentral describes it as "bacterial SSU rRNA". It matches the Rfam family "Bacterial small subunit ribosomal RNA", at positions 30 to 417 of the family's 1533-position model. The record is from RNAcentral.
AUUGAACGCUGGCGGCAUGCUUUACACAUGCAAGUCGAACGGCAGCGCGGGCUUCGGCCUGGCGGCGAGUGGCGAACGGGUGAGUAAUAUAUCGGAACGUACCCAAGAGUGGGGAUAACGUAGCGAAAGUUACGCUAAUACCGCAUACGAUCUAAGGAUGAAAGCAGGGGAUCGCAAGACCUUGUGCUCCUGGAGCGGCCGAUAUCUGAUUAGCUAGUUGGUGAGGUAAAGGCUCACCAAGGCAACGAUCAGUAGCUGGUCUGAGAGGACGACCAGCCACACUGGAACUGAGACACGGUCCAGACUCCUACGGGAGGCAGCAGUGGGGAAUUUUGGGACAAUGGGGGCAACCCUGAUCCAGCAAUGCCGCGUGAGUGAAGAAGGCCU